CUUAACGAAGCGAGGGCUGUUAUCACCUCUCCUUAGCCCUUUAAGUGCAGCAGGCUCUUUGGUGUCUCUCGCUGAAUGCCGCUUUGUUAAUUGCGACGGUAAACAGGACACAGCGCUGACCAUCGCUGUGCUUUGCUCAGGCGGCACUUACCACAAAACCGCUGGAUUUAGGAAAGGAACCUGAGUCCAGGGGGAGUCACACAUGAAGGAGGGUUCGUAGAAGUACUCAGCAUUUCCUGGACUUGCUUCUAUCAUUUAAAAUGUAUUGCAUACCUUGAAGUGAGUGUAAUGGCUGGCUUAAUUGGAGAUAACUUCACUGAAGUGGCCGUAGUUACCAUUUAUGUCUGCAGUGAAUGUGCCCUUUAACGCUGUGCCCCUCAGUCAUGAUGAGACAUCCUCUGGGUCAGAUGUACUGAGGACAGACUAGCCUGAAAGUGCAGCACCUCUUUCACCCAAGUGAAAAGGACCAGCUGAACUGUGCGGGUAUUUGCUGAAAGCUUUCUGCAAACAUAUCUUCAGUGCCCAUAAUAAAUUUUCCUGCAUACAUAGUUUUCCAGUGUUUUUAUUAUUUAUUUGUGGCAGAACAAAUAAAUCUCAAAGGAUUUGGAUCUUAUAAAAAUAUAUAAUGUGGAAAUAUAGAUGCUCUUGCACCAGCUCUGGUGUCUGUUUUUUCAAGCUUUCCUACAAUUAAACUGAAUAUUCAUGGAAAAUACAUUGAGAAAGGGUGUCAAUAUCACUGUAAUGAAUCCAGUGUUUUAUUCAACUGAUUAUCCAGGAACAGUAUCGGGCCACUUUCCCAAUUCUUAUUAGAAAUAUUAUAAAAAAAUGAGAAAGAAUUCCUCUCAUCUGUUUAUGAGUUAUGCCACUUUCAAAGUCGCUAUAUUCCAUUACACAGUUCCCCACCCACUUGCUUGCCCAAAUAGAGUUUGCUACUAGAUGGAUCCAGAGCAGCUGCCUUGCCCCAGAACAGCUGCUGGUGCUCUAUAUUUGCAGCUUCCUCUUGCUCUCUGAUACUCCAUAAAACUGUUUAUAUUCCCUGUAAAAGUAUUUUCACUCUGUUUGCUUAGUGACCAUGCACCACAAA
Molecule: long non-coding RNA, 1084 nt
Organism: Motacilla alba alba
Lineage: Eukaryota; Metazoa; Chordata; Aves; Passeriformes; Motacillidae
Exons: 3
Source: RefSeq, a predicted model, not a curated record